Molecule: ribosomal RNA, 675 nt
Filed under: Triticum aestivum (bread wheat)
Lineage: Eukaryota; Viridiplantae; Streptophyta; Magnoliopsida; Poales; Poaceae
Description: partial small subunit ribosomal RNA
Source: RNAcentral
AUGCCAUUUUGUUUGAAACUGAAAAAUUUUAUUCACAUUAGGCAAUGGGUUUUAGAGUGGAUACAAAAUGCUACAGAUUUUCACUCUAUGGUUAUGGUAGUGGCAAUAUGGCACAUAUGGGAAAAUAAAAAUGCCUACCGUAAUGGCGAAACUCAUCCUCUUCGUGUGGUGGGAAAGAUCAAAGCUUAUGUUGAAUUUAUCAAUAUGCAUUCUUUUAGUUCGACCACUUCCAUUAGACGUGAGACCUUGAAGUCAAACCAAAAAUGGUCUCCGCCGCCGGAUGGGUCGAUGCUUAUCAAUGUGGAUGCAGCGAAUUUCUCCCAAUCUGCAAGAGCGGGUUUUGGUGUGGUAAUACACGAUCACCGGGGAAGGGUGCAGGCGGCAAAUAGAGGUUACUUUGAACGAAUUCAAAUUCCUGAAGUAGCGGAAGCCAUGGCACUUCGUCAAGCCUUAAUCCUUGCCAAUAACCUUGGCAUACGGAACAUCAUGGUAGCAUCUGAUUGCCUGUUAUUGAUCAACAAGGUCAAGGGUUUAGGUUUUGAUAGGUCCCCUAUUGGAGCCAUAGUCCAUGAUAUUAGAAAAUGUGUCGUACUUGUAAUGAGGCAACACAUGUUCUGGCGAAAUCAGCAGAGCAUGAUGUUUGGUCCUGCUGGAUUAAUGAGUUUCCUGAUGUAA